RNAcentral lists this ribosomal RNA (778 nucleotides) under uncultured Neocallimastigales. RNAcentral's name for it is "partial large subunit ribosomal RNA". It matches the Rfam family "Eukaryotic large subunit ribosomal RNA", at positions 23 to 647 of the family's 3401-position model. Lineage: Eukaryota; Fungi; Neocallimastigomycota; Neocallimastigomycetes; Neocallimastigales. The record is from RNAcentral.
AGAGAUGUGUGAUGACGCAUAUCAAUAAGCGGAGGAAAAGAAACUAACAAGGAUUCCCUUAGUAACGGCGAGUGAAGCGGGAAGAGCUCAAAUUUGAAAUCUUCAAGGUUCUACCUUGACGAAUUGUAGUUUAUAAGAAGUGUUUUCUGUUAGUAGAGUUGGCUAAAAGUUCUUUGGAAUAGGACAUCAUAGAGGGUGAGAAUCCCGUAUUUGAUCAUUCUUUCUAGCUUUGUGAUACACUUUCAACGAGUCGGAUUGUUUGGGAAUGCAGUCCAAAAUGGGUGGUAAAUUUCAUCUAAAGCUAAAUAUUGGCGAGAGACCGAUAGCGAACAAGUACCGUGAGGGAAAGAUGAAAAGAACUUUGAAAAGAGAGUUAAACAGUACGUGAAAUUGUCAAAAGGGAAGCGUUUGACACCAGUGUUGUUUUUCCGAAAAUCAAUUACGAAUGUUUUGUUUUUAAGAGAGUUAUGACUUCAUCGGCUUGCUUCUCUCUUUACGAAACUUUCUUAAUGCACUUUUCGGUUAACAAGUCAACAUCAAUUUCUUUUGUUGUAAAAGGGUACGAGGAAGGUGGCUUUCUUUUCGGAGGAAGUGUUUAUAGCCUUGUACCUCUGCAAUCGGAGAGAUUGAGGUCUGCAGCGUAGAUCCUUCGGGGUUAGAUACAUUUGUGCUAAGUUAUAGCUUUUCAUAGACAACUUGUUGACUAUGUUUAGUCUUGUAGCUUACUCGCUUAUGCUAUUUUACCUACGCUUAGGAUGUUGACGCAUGAGAUAUACGC